This 251-nucleotide ribosomal RNA is filed under the name uncultured bacterium. RNAcentral describes it as "partial 16S ribosomal RNA". It matches the Rfam family "Bacterial small subunit ribosomal RNA", at positions 524 to 776 of the family's 1533-position model. The record is from RNAcentral.
UACGUAGGGGGCAAGCGUUGUCCGGAUUUACUGGGCGUAAAGCGCGUAGGCGGAAGCGAAAGUCCGGUGUGAAAGCCCCCCGCUCAACGGGGGAAGGUCGCUGGAAACUGCGCUUCUUGAGGGCGGCAGAGGGAAGUGGAAUUGCUGGUGUAGCGGUGAAAUGCGUAGAGAUCAGCAGGAACACCCGUGGCGAAGGCGGCUUCCUGGGCCGCGCCUGACGCUGAGACGCGAAAGCGUGGGGAGCGAACGGG